RNAcentral lists this ribosomal RNA (268 nucleotides) under uncultured bacterium. RNAcentral's name for it is "partial 16S ribosomal RNA". It matches the Rfam family "Bacterial small subunit ribosomal RNA", at positions 1235 to 1500 of the family's 1533-position model. The record is from RNAcentral.
UUUAACAAAGAAGAAGCAAAGCCGCGAGGUAGAGCAAAUCUCAAAAAAAACAAUCUCAGUUCAGACUGCAGGCUGCAACUCGCCUGCACGAAGUCGGAAUUGCUAGUAAUCGUAGGUCAGCAUACUACGGUGAAUACGUUCCCGGGCCUUGUACACACCGCCCGUCAAACCAUGAGAGUUGGCAACACCCGAAGUCGGUAGUCUAACCGCAAGGAGGACGCCGCCGAAGGUGGGGUUGAUGAUUAGGGUUAAGUCGUAACAAGGUAAC